CCUACGGGUGGCAGCAGUGGGGAAUAUUGGACAAUGGGCGAAAGCCUGAUCCAGCCAUGCCGCGUGUGUGAAGAAGGCCUUCGGGUUGUAAAGCACUUUCAGUGGGGAAGAAAGCCUUGGGGCUAAUACCCUCGAGGAAGGACAUCACCCACAGAAGAAGCACCGGCUAACUCCGUGCCAGCAGCCGCGGUAAUACGGAGGGUGCGAGCGUUAAUCGGAAUUACUGGGCGUAAAGCGCGCGUAGGCGGUCUGAUAAGCCGGUUGUGUAAGCCCCGGGCUCAACCUGGGAACGGCAUCCGGAACUGUCAGGCUAGAGUGCAGGAGAGGAAGGUAGAAUUCCCGGUGUAGCGGUGAAAUGCGUAGAGAUCGGGAGGAAUACCAGUGGCGAAGGCGGCCUUCUGGACUGACACUGACGCUGAGGUGCGAAAGCGUGGGUAGCAAACAGGAUUAGAUACCCUUGUAGUC
RNAcentral lists this ribosomal RNA (465 nucleotides) under Vreelandella stevensii. RNAcentral's name for it is "partial 16S ribosomal RNA". It matches the Rfam family "Bacterial small subunit ribosomal RNA", at positions 338 to 795 of the family's 1533-position model. Lineage: Bacteria; Pseudomonadati; Pseudomonadota; Gammaproteobacteria; Oceanospirillales; Halomonadaceae. The record is from RNAcentral.